CGCGGGUUUAUGAUUUUAACCUCGUCGGGCUCAUAACCCGAAGGUCGUAGGUUCAAAUCCUGCCUCCGCAACCA
Molecule: transfer RNA, 74 nt
Filed under: Bdellovibrio sp. NC01
Lineage: Bacteria; Pseudomonadati; Bdellovibrionota; Bdellovibrionia; Bdellovibrionales; Pseudobdellovibrionaceae
Description: tRNA-Met
Source: RNAcentral